This 429-nucleotide ribosomal RNA is filed under the name Chloroflexota bacterium. Its description in RNAcentral is "Chloroflexi bacterium partial 16S ribosomal RNA". It matches the Rfam family "Bacterial small subunit ribosomal RNA", at positions 355 to 776 of the family's 1533-position model. The record is from RNAcentral. Lineage: Bacteria; Bacillati; Chloroflexota.
UGGGGAAUAUUGCACAAUGGGCGCAAGCCUGAUGCAGCCAUGCCGCGUGUAUGAAGAAGGCCUUCGGGUUGUAAAGUACUUUCAGCGGGGAGGAAGGGAGUAAAGUUAAUACCUUUGCUCAUUGACGUUACCCGCAGAAGAAGCACCGGCUAACUCCGUGCCAGCAGCCGCGGUAAUACGGAGGGUGCAAGCGUUAAUCGGAAUUACUGGGCGUAAAGCGCACGCAGGCGGUUUGUUAAGUCAGAUGUGAAAUCCCCGGGCUCAACCUGGGAACUGCAUCUGAUACUGGCAAGCUUGAGUCUCGUAGAGAGGGGUAGAAUUCCAGGUGUAGCGAUGAAAUGCGUAGAGAUCUGGAGGAAUACCGGUGGCGAAGGCGGCCCCCUGGACGAAGACUGACGCUCAGGUGCGAAAGCGUGGGGAGCAAACAGG